RNAcentral lists this ribosomal RNA (414 nucleotides) under uncultured microorganism. RNAcentral's name for it is "bacterial SSU rRNA". It matches the Rfam family "Archaeal small subunit ribosomal RNA", at positions 459 to 872 of the family's 1478-position model. The record is from RNAcentral.
CAGCCGCCGCGGUAAUACCGGCGGCCCGAGUGGUGGCCGCUAUUAUUGGGCCUAAAGCGUCCGUAGCCGGGCCCGUAAGUCCCUGGCGAAAUCCCACGGCUCAACCGUGGGGCUUGCUGGGGAUACUGCUGGCCUAGGGACCGGGAGAGGCCGAGGGUAUUCCCGGGGUAGGGGUGAAAUCCUGUAAUCCCGGGAGGACCACCUGUGGCGAAGGCGCUCGGCUGGAACGGGUCCGACGGUGAGGGACGAAGGCCAGGGGAGCGAACCGGAUUAGAUACCCGGGUAGUCCUGGCGGUAAACGAUGCGGACUAGGUGUCGGGCAAGCUAAGGGCUUGUCCGGUGCCGCAGGGAAGCCGUUAAGUCCGCCGCCUGGGGAGUACGGCCGCAAGGCUGAAACUUAAAGGAAUUGGCGGG